This is a small nucleolar RNA of Meriones unguiculatus (Mongolian gerbil), 130 nucleotides long. The record is from Ensembl. Lineage: Eukaryota; Metazoa; Chordata; Mammalia; Rodentia; Muridae.
CCUGCUCCUAGCAGCAUUACAGGUGUGACUGCUAUACCACAUGUGCUAUCAGUAGGCAGCAGAGAGGAGAGGGGCUGUGUCUAAGCUCAGCGUUUUGACUGUGAACAUCUGAAUGAUAAGCUGUAGCAGG